Molecule: ribosomal RNA, 1312 nt
Filed under: metagenome
Description: bacterial LSU rRNA
Rfam family: Bacterial large subunit ribosomal RNA
Source: RNAcentral
GGAUUGGGAGGGUUCUACGGAACCCGUUUGGUGAAUCUAGUGCCGAGAAAAGCCUUCUAUGUGUUGAAUUUCUAGUACCCGUACCCCAAACCGACACAGGUGGGUGGGUAGAGCAUACCUAGGGGCGCGUGAUAACUCUCUCUAAGGAACUCGGCAAAAUGGCCCUGUAACUUCGGGAUAAGGGGUGCCUGCGUGAGCAGGCCGCAGUGAAAUGGCUCUGGCGACUGUUUACCAAAAACACAGGUCUCUGCUAAGUCGUAAGACGAUGUAUAGGGGCUGACUCCUGCCCAGUGCCGGAAGGUUAAGGAAGUUGGUUAGCGCAAGCGAAGCUGGCGACCGAAGCCCCGGUGAACGGCGGCCGUAACUAUAACGGUCCUAAGGUAGCGAAAUUCCUUGUCGGGUAAGUUCCGACCCGCACGAAAGGAGUAACGAUCAGAGCGCUGUCUCGGAGAGAGACACGGCGAAAUAGGAUUGUCCGUGAAGAUACGGACUACCUGCACCCGGACAGAAAGACCCUAUGAAGCUUUACUGUAACUUGGAAUUGUGUUCGGACUUUGUCUGCGCAGAAUAGGUGGGAGGCUAUGAAACGUUCCUCGCGGGGAACUGGAGCCAUCGUUGAGAUACCACUCUGGCAGAGUCUGGAUUCUAACCUACGGGGACAGUUCCAGGUGGGCAGUUUGACUGGGGCGGUCGCCUCCUAAAAUGUAACGGAGGCGCGCAAAGGUUCCCUCAGGCUGGUUGGAAAUCAGCCAUAGAGUGUAAAAGCAUAAGGGAGCUUGACUGUGAGACCUACAAGUCGAGCAGGGACGAAAGUCGGCUUUAGUGAUCCGACGGCACUGAGUGGAAGGGCCGUCGCUCAACGGAUAAAAGUUACUCUAAGGAUAACAGGCUGAUCUCCCCCAAGAGUUCACAUCGACGGGGAGGUUUGGCACCUUGAUGUCGGCUCGUCGCAACCUGGGGCGGUAGUACGUCCCAAGGGUUGGGCUGUUCGCCCAUUAAUCGGCACGUGAGCUGGGUUCAGAACGUCGUGAGACAGUUCGGUCCAUAUCCGGUGUAGGCGUAGGAGCAUUGAAAGGAUCUCUCCUUAGUACGAGAGGACCGGGAGGGACGUACCUCUGGUGUACCUGUUAUCGUGCCAACGGUAAACGCAGGGUAGCCAUGUACGGAGUGGAUAACCGCUGAGAGCAUCUAAGUGGGAAGCCCACCUUAAGAUGAGUGCUCCCUUGAGGCCACGGGAAGACGACCCGUUUGAUAGGCGCUAGGUGGAAGUGCAGUAAUGCAUGCAGCCGAGGCGUACUAAUAGGCCGAUGGC